RNAcentral lists this transfer RNA (73 nucleotides) under Oryzias latipes (Japanese medaka). Its description in RNAcentral is "tRNA-Arg (TCT) (tRNA-Arg-TCT-19 1 to 5)". It matches the Rfam family "tRNA". From Rfam's summary of the family: Transfer RNA (tRNA) molecules are approximately 80 nucleotides in length. Their secondary structure includes four short double-helical elements and three loops (D, anti-codon, and T loops). Further hydrogen bonds mediate the characteristic L-shaped molecular structure. tRNAs have two regions of fundamental functional importance: the anti-codon, which is responsible for specific mRNA codon recognition, and the 3' end, to which the tRNAs corresponding amino acid is attached (by aminoacyl-tRNA synthetases). tRNAs cope with the degeneracy of the genetic code in two manners: having more than one tRNA (with a specific anti-codon) for a particular amino acid; and 'wobble' base-pairing, i.e. permitting non-standard base-pairing at the 3rd anti-codon position. Lineage: Eukaryota; Metazoa; Chordata; Actinopteri; Beloniformes; Adrianichthyidae. The record is from RNAcentral.
GGCCCUGUGGCGCAAUGGAUAGCGCAUUGGACUUCUAAUUCAAAUGUUGUGGGUUCAAGCCCCACAAGGGUCA